This 69-nucleotide transfer RNA is filed under the name Chlamydoselachus anguineus (frilled shark). RNAcentral's name for it is "tRNA-Tyr". It matches the Rfam family "tRNA". From Rfam's summary of the family: Transfer RNA (tRNA) molecules are approximately 80 nucleotides in length. Their secondary structure includes four short double-helical elements and three loops (D, anti-codon, and T loops). Further hydrogen bonds mediate the characteristic L-shaped molecular structure. tRNAs have two regions of fundamental functional importance: the anti-codon, which is responsible for specific mRNA codon recognition, and the 3' end, to which the tRNAs corresponding amino acid is attached (by aminoacyl-tRNA synthetases). tRNAs cope with the degeneracy of the genetic code in two manners: having more than one tRNA (with a specific anti-codon) for a particular amino acid; and 'wobble' base-pairing, i.e. permitting non-standard base-pairing at the 3rd anti-codon position. Lineage: Eukaryota; Metazoa; Chordata; Chondrichthyes; Hexanchiformes; Chlamydoselachidae. The record is from RNAcentral.
GGUAAGGUGACUGAAUUUUAAGUGGCGGAUUGUAACCCCGUAAAUAGAGGUUGACCCCUCUCCCUACCA